GAGUUUGAUCAUGGCUCAGAUUGAACGCUGGCGGCAUGCUUUACACAUGCAAGUCGAACGGUAACAGGGAGCUUGCUCCGCUGACGAGUGGCGAACGGGUGAGUAAUGCGUCGGAACGUGCCGAGUAGUGGGGGAUAACGCAUCGAAAGGUGUGCUAAUACCGCAUACGAACUGAGGUUGAAAGUGGGGGACCUUCGGGCCUCACGCUAUUCGAGCGGCCGACGUCUGAUUAGCUAGUAGGUGAGGUAAAGGCUCACCUAGGCGACGAUCAGUAGCGGGUCUGAGAGGAUGAUCCGCCACACUGGGACUGAGACACGGCCCAGACUCCUACGGGAGGCAGCAGUGGGGAAUUUUGGACAAUGGGCGCAAGCCUGAUCCAGCCAUGCCGCGUGUCUGAAGAAGGCCUUCGGGUUGUAAAGGACUUUUGUCUGGGAGCAAAUACCCGGUGUUAAU
RNAcentral lists this ribosomal RNA (453 nucleotides) under uncultured bacterium. RNAcentral's name for it is "bacterial SSU rRNA". It matches the Rfam family "Bacterial small subunit ribosomal RNA", at positions 9 to 464 of the family's 1533-position model. The record is from RNAcentral.